AUUGAACGCUGGCGGCGUGCUUAACACAUGCAAGUCGAACGAGGCCCCUCCUUCGGGAGGGUGUCCUAGUGGCGAACGGGUGAGUAACACGUGGGCAACCUGCCCCCGGCUCUGGGAUAACCCCAAGAAAUUGGGGCUAAUACCGGAUAUGACCGCUGACCGCAUGGUCUGGUGGUGGAAAGAUUUUUUCGGCUGGGGAUGGGCCCGCGGCCUAUCAGCUUGUUGGUGGGGUAGUGGCCUACCAAGGCGACGACGGGUAGCCGGCCUGAGAGGGUGACCGGCCACACUGGGACUGAGACACGGCCCAGACUCCUACGGGAGGCAGCAGUGGGGAAUAUUGCGCAAUGGGCGGAAGCCUGACGCAGCGACGCCGCGUGGGGGAUGACGGCCUUCGGGUUGUAAACCUCUUUCAGCAGGGACGAAGCGAAAGUGACGGUACCUGCAGAAGAAGCACCGGCCAACUACGUGCCAGCCGCCGCGGUAA
RNAcentral lists this ribosomal RNA (484 nucleotides) under uncultured bacterium. RNAcentral's name for it is "partial 16S ribosomal RNA". It matches the Rfam family "Bacterial small subunit ribosomal RNA", at positions 28 to 523 of the family's 1533-position model. The record is from RNAcentral.